RNAcentral lists this ribosomal RNA (448 nucleotides) under uncultured bacterium. RNAcentral describes it as "partial 16S ribosomal RNA". It matches the Rfam family "Bacterial small subunit ribosomal RNA", at positions 30 to 523 of the family's 1533-position model. The record is from RNAcentral.
AUUGAACGCUGGCGGAAUGCUUUACACAUGCAAGUCGAACGCCCUAGCAAUAGGGAGUGGCAGACGGGUGAGUAACACGUGGGAACGUGCCCUUCGGAUCGGAAUAACUCAGGGAAACUUGAGCUAAUACCGGAUAAGUGCGAGAGCAGAAAGAUUUAUCGCCGGAGGAUCGGCCCGCGUCCGAUUAGCUAGGUGGGGAGGUAAUGGCUCACCAAGGCGACGAUCGGUAGCUGGUCUGAGAGGAUGACCAGCCACACUGGGACUGAGACACGGCCCAGACUCCUACGGGAGGCAGCAGUGGGGAAUAUUGGACAAUGGGGGCAACCCUGAUCCAGCCAUGCCGCGUGAGUGAUGAAGGCCUUAGGGUUGUAAAGCUCUUUUACCCGGGACGAUAAUGACUGUACCGGGAGAAUAAGCCCGGCUAACUUCGUGCCAGCCGCCGCAGUAA